UGCCACCCAGGCUGAGCAGCAGCCAAGUGUCUGCGGUGAAACCUCAAGCGAGCGCCAGGGAUGAUGGAGCCUGUCAGGUUUUUAACAAGUGCACAGAAGAUUAUUUUAGUUUGCCUUUUGUAAUGACAAGUACACCAAGCCAUGGUGAAGUCACAGAUCCAGAUCCUGUUUCACAGAAAAUAAAUUUUUUGCCUGGGGUAGAAGAAGAG
This 209-nucleotide long non-coding RNA is filed under the name Gopherus evgoodei (Goodes thornscrub tortoise). RNAcentral describes it as "lncRNA (ENSGEVG00005007219.1)". Lineage: Eukaryota; Metazoa; Chordata; Testudines; Testudinidae. The record is from RNAcentral.